RNAcentral lists this ribosomal RNA (253 nucleotides) under uncultured bacterium. Its description in RNAcentral is "partial 16S ribosomal RNA". It matches the Rfam family "Bacterial small subunit ribosomal RNA", at positions 524 to 776 of the family's 1533-position model. The record is from RNAcentral.
UACAGAGGGUGCGAGCGUUGUUCGGAAUUAUUGGGCGUAAAGGGCGCGUAGGCGGUGCGGUAAGUCACCUGUGAAAUCUCCUGGCUUAACUGGGAGCCUGCAGGCGAAACUACCGUGCUGGAGUGUGGGAGAGGUGCGUGGAAUUCCCGGUGUAGCGGUGAAAUGCGUAGAUAUCUGGAGGAACACCGGUGGCGAAGGCGGCAUCCUGGACCACGACUGACGCUGAGGAGCGAAAGCCAGGGGAGCAAACGGG